Molecule: long non-coding RNA, 236 nt
Filed under: Elaeis guineensis (African oil palm)
Lineage: Eukaryota; Viridiplantae; Streptophyta; Magnoliopsida; Arecales; Arecaceae
Description: long non-coding RNA (EGUI_LNC023098)
Source: RNAcentral
CAACCGAAGUUUGUAAAAGGCCGAUCCUUCCAGGGCUCUUCCGGCUUCUGACCCUGUGUGGCAUCUUUCUGAACUCCCCCGAUCGUCCGAGCUUCCAUAAUACCAUCCGGACUUCUCCGAUAAUGAGCUCCUCCAUUCAUCUACCGACUGCUCCAAAUACUUUCUGAGCUUCACUAUCAGUCAAUUUUUUACAGUGAUUGACUACUCUCCGAAUCUCUUCCAGACUUCUUCCGGCC